RNAcentral lists this ribosomal RNA (510 nucleotides) under uncultured marine bacterium. Its description in RNAcentral is "bacterial SSU rRNA". It matches the Rfam family "Bacterial small subunit ribosomal RNA", at positions 338 to 866 of the family's 1533-position model. The record is from RNAcentral.
CCUACGGGAGGCAGCAGUGGGGAAUCUUAGACAAUGGGCGCAAGCCUGAUCUAGCGAUGCCGCGUGAGUGAUGAAGGCCUUAGGGUCGUAAAGCUCUUUCGCCUGUGAAGAUAAUGACGGUAGCAGGUAAAGAAACCCCGGCUAACUCCGUGCCAGCAGCCGCGGUAAUACGGAGGGGGUUAGCGUUGUUCGGAAUUACUGGGCGUAAAGCGCACGUAGGCGGACUAGUCAGUCAGAGGUGAAAUCCCAGGGCUCAACCCUGGAACUGCCUUUGAUACUGCUAGUCUUGAGUUCGAGAGAGGUAAGUGGAAUUCCGAGUGUAGAGGUGAAAUUCGUAGAUAUUCGGAGGAACACCAGUGGCGAAGGCGGCUUACUGGCUCGAUACUGACGCUGAGGUGCGAAAGUGUGGGGAGCAAACAGGAUUAGAUACCCUGGUAGUCCACACCGUAAACGAUGAAUGCCAGACGUCGGGUAGCAUGCUAUUCGGUGUCACACCUAACGGAUUAAGCA